RNAcentral lists this ribosomal RNA (269 nucleotides) under uncultured prokaryote. RNAcentral's name for it is "partial 16S ribosomal RNA". It matches the Rfam family "Bacterial small subunit ribosomal RNA", at positions 524 to 792 of the family's 1533-position model. The record is from RNAcentral.
UACGGAGGAUGCGAGCGUUAUCCGGAUUUAUUGGGUUUAAAGGGUGCGUAGGCGGGACCAUGAGUCAGCUGUGAAAGUUUUCGGCUCAACCGGAAAAUUGCCGUUGAAACUGUGGUUCUUGAGUGCAGAAGAGGUGGGCGGAAUUCGUUGUGUAGCGGUGAAAUGCGUAGAUAUAACGAAGAACACCAAUUGCGUAGGCAGCUUACCAUACUGCAACUGACGCUGAGGCACGAAAGUGUGGGUAUCAAACAGGAUUAGAUACCCUGGUA